GGUCUUGUAGUUUAAUCAGGUAAAACACCCGACUGUUAAUCGGGCAUUAUGGGUUCGAGUCCUUUCAAGACCG
Molecule: transfer RNA, 73 nt
Filed under: Methanobrevibacter millerae
Lineage: Archaea; Methanobacteriati; Methanobacteriota; Methanobacteria; Methanobacteriales; Methanobacteriaceae
Description: tRNA_Asn_GTT
Rfam family: tRNA
About the family: Transfer RNA (tRNA) molecules are approximately 80 nucleotides in length. Their secondary structure includes four short double-helical elements and three loops (D, anti-codon, and T loops).
Source: RNAcentral